Molecule: transfer RNA, 74 nt
Filed under: Arabidopsis suecica
Lineage: Eukaryota; Viridiplantae; Streptophyta; Magnoliopsida; Brassicales; Brassicaceae
Description: tRNA-Val
Rfam family: tRNA
About the family: Transfer RNA (tRNA) molecules are approximately 80 nucleotides in length. Their secondary structure includes four short double-helical elements and three loops (D, anti-codon, and T loops).
Source: RNAcentral
GUCUGGGUGGUGUACUGGGUUAUCACGCUAGUCUCACACACUAGAGGUCCCCGGUUUGAACCCGGGCUCAGACA